AGGUUGAUAACAUCUCCUAACAAAAAUUCAAAAUGUAUAAAAUAUUUUCCUCAUAAAUGUGUAAAUUUUAGAGAAAUUGUAAAACCAAAAUCAAAAUUGUAAAAUUAAUAGUAAAGCAAAAAUUUAAAGCAGUCCGGUAUGAAAAAUUCGUGAAAAUUUACCAGUGAAUCGUUGUUAAUCUAAUAAUGUAAAAGAAAUUUGUUGUGAAAUGAGCAAAGACUCGAAGAAUAUUGUGAAAAAUGAGCAGAGAAUAAUGUUGUUAUUAUAUUUGUGUAAGAGACACGUAUUAAUCAAAGAAAAGAAAAGAAAAAUGACGAGAAAAUUGUAGAAGAUGACGAGAAAAUAAUUGUUAUUAUAAUAGUUAUGUAAGAGUCUUGUGAAAAAUGUCAAGAAAUAAGUGUUAUUCAAGAUGGUCCAUGGGCAACUGAUUAUUGUUGUUGCUGUCCAAAUUUCAAGUGAUUUCAGAUAUGAGACAAAUUUUAGUGAAACGUCAAGGCCUCUGGCAAUAACUGACCGUUGUUGUUGUCUUCUAAAUUGCAAGUAAGGGUGUGAAACAAAUUCCAGUGAAACGUACAGGCGUCUUGACAGCCUGCAGAGAUGUUUUAAGAGUUUAAUGAAGCUUACAAAGAUACACGACGAGCGCUACUGAAGGAUAUGGCCGAGUUUCACAAAAUUCAAUGUGUUAAUAAAUAUGACAUGCUACAGAGA
RNAcentral lists this small RNA (708 nucleotides) under Drosophila mojavensis. Its description in RNAcentral is "GI26224". The record is from RNAcentral. Lineage: Eukaryota; Metazoa; Arthropoda; Insecta; Diptera; Drosophilidae.